GGACCCGCACAAGUAGUGGAGCAUGUGGUUUAAUUCGAUGCAACGCGAAGAACCUUACCAGGCCUUGACAUCCUCGGAACUUUCUAGAGAUAGAUUAGUUCCUUCGGGACGUUUAGCAAGGUGCUGCAUGGUUGUCGUCAGCUCGUGCCGUGAGGUGUUGGGUUAAGUCCCGCAACGAGCGCAACCCCUAUCUUUAGUUGCCAGCGAGUCAAGUCGGGGACUCUAAAGAGACUGCCUGCGCAAGCAGAGAGGAAGGAGGGGAUGACGUCAAAUCAUCAUGGCCUUUAUGCCUAGGGCUACACACGUGCUACAAUGGUAAAGACAAAGGGUUGCUACUUGGCGACAAGAUGCCAAUCCCAAAAACUUUAUCUCAGUUCGGAUCGGAGUCUGCAACUCGACUCCGUGAAGCUGGAAUC
RNAcentral lists this ribosomal RNA (416 nucleotides) under uncultured bacterium. Its description in RNAcentral is "bacterial SSU rRNA". It matches the Rfam family "Bacterial small subunit ribosomal RNA", at positions 917 to 1333 of the family's 1533-position model. The record is from RNAcentral.